RNAcentral lists this long non-coding RNA (664 nucleotides) under Coturnix japonica (Japanese quail). RNAcentral's name for it is "lncRNA (ENSCJPG00005000969.1)". The record is from RNAcentral. Lineage: Eukaryota; Metazoa; Chordata; Aves; Galliformes; Phasianidae.
GUUGGCACGCAGAGGACGAAGCCUGGUAUUGCUGGGAUAGACACUCUGCGAGUGCUCACUGUUGAAGCACACGAUGGCCGACGGGACACAGAAGGCUGCCAGCUCAGGAGAGCCAGGGUGAGAGCAAAGGAUCCCUGCAUGCAGCCCCCCACUGCAGGGCAGAGGGGUGUUGGGGGUCUGCCAGCAGUGGAGAGGGGAGUUGGGGGCACACAAGGGCUCCCCAUCUGCUGCGGGCAGGACUUGGCCAGGGGAGCCACAGUUGGGCUUUGGCUGCCUGCUGGCACCGCUGGGCCUGCUGUGCCCCAUCCCUGCAAGUUGCUCACUGCUGUUACUCUCUCCAGCAUGUGUGUUCUGUGGCCGGGUGGACGUGGACCUCGGCAUCACUGGGAACAAAUACGUGAUGAAGGGGAUCUAUUUCCAUACUUUUUGUGUGACAUUUUUCCUCUGUCCUUUACAACGAGGAAGAGAUGGAAAUGCACAUCUCUGUAGUCAAGACCUCAUUCGCACGAUGAAGCAGGCAGAGCAGAGGGUGAGCACUGGACCGGAACAGGGAGCUUGGUGCCAGGAGAGCUCAGCCUGGUCCCCACAAAGCAAUCCCAGCCCCUCCCAGCUCCAGAGAAAUCCCUGCUCUUGCAGACCAGCCCUGUCACCAGGCAGCUCUGCA